CGGGGUGAGUAACGCGUGGGUAACCUGCCCUGUACACACAGAUAACAUACCGAAAGGUAUGCUAAUACGGGAUAAUAUAUUUGAGAGGCAUCUCUUGAAUAUCAAAGGUGAGCCAGUACAGGAUGGACCCGCGUCUGAUUAGCUAGUUGGUAAGGUAACGGCUUACCAAGGCGACGAUCAGUAGCCGACCUGAGAGGGUGAUCGGCCACAUUGGAACUGAGACACGGUCCAA
This 232-nucleotide ribosomal RNA is filed under the name uncultured bacterium. RNAcentral describes it as "partial 16S ribosomal RNA". It matches the Rfam family "Bacterial small subunit ribosomal RNA", at positions 104 to 334 of the family's 1533-position model. The record is from RNAcentral.